CCAGCAGCCGCGGUAUACGGGGGAUGCAAGCGUUAUCCGGAAUCAUUGGGCGUAAAGCGCCUGUAGGUUGUUUAAUAAGUCCGUUGUUAAAGACUAGGGCUUAACCCUAGAAAAGCAAUGGAAACUAUUAGACUAGAGUAUGGCAGGGGUAGAGGGAAUUUCUAGUGUAGCGGUGAAAUGCGUAGAUAUUAGAAAGAACACCGGCGGCGAAAGCGCUCUACUGGACCAUUACUGACACUCAGAGGCGAAAGCUAGGGUAGCAAAAGGGAUUAGAUACCCCUGUAGUCCUAGCCGUAAACGAUGGAUACUAGAUGUUGUGCUUUAUGUACAGUAUCGUAGCUAACGCGUUAAGUAUCCCGCCUGGGGAGUACGCUCGCAAGGGUGAAACUCAAAGGAAUUGACGGGGGCCCGCACAAGCGGUGGAGCAUGUGGUUUAAUUCGAUGCAACGCGAAGAACCUUACCAGGGCUUGACAUACUACGAAUUCUCUUGAAAAAGAGAAGUGCCUUCGGGAAUGUAGAUACAGGUGGUGCAUGGCUGUCGUCAGCUCGUGUCGUGAGAUGUUGGGUUAAGUCCCGCAACGAGCGCAACCCUUAUUUUUAGUUACUAAUUCGUUAGGUUCUCUAGAAAGACUGCCGGUGACAAACCGGAGGAAGGUGAGGAUGACGUCAAGUCAGCAUGCCCCUUAUGUCCUGGGCUACACACGUGCUACAAUGGUUAAGACAAAGAGUCGCGAGCUUGUAAAAGUCAGCUAAUCUCAUAAACUAGCCUAAGUUCAGA
Molecule: ribosomal RNA, 779 nt
Filed under: Chrysochromulina throndsenii
Lineage: Eukaryota; Haptophyta; Prymnesiales; Chrysochromulinaceae
Description: bacterial SSU rRNA
Rfam family: Bacterial small subunit ribosomal RNA
Source: RNAcentral